Molecule: non-coding RNA, 26 nt
Filed under: Homo sapiens (human)
Lineage: Eukaryota; Metazoa; Chordata; Mammalia; Primates; Hominidae
Source: RNAcentral
UGUCUUUGGUUGCGCUCAAGAAGGCA